CAGCAGCCACGGUAAUACGUAGGUGGCAAGCGUUGUCCGGAAUCAUUGGGCGUAAAGCGCGCGCAGGUGGUUUAAUAAGUCUGAUGUGAAAGCCCCCGGCUCAACCGGGGAGGGUCAUUGGAAACUGGGAAACUUGAGUGCAGAAGAGGAGAGUGGAAUUCCACGUGUAGCGGUGAAAUGCGUAGAGAUGUGGAGGAACACCAGUGGCGAAGGCGACUCUUUGGUCUGUAACUGACGCUGAGGAGCGAAAGCGUGGGGAGCGAACAGGAUUAGAUACCCGCGUAGUCCCUGUCUCUUAUAC
Molecule: ribosomal RNA, 301 nt
Filed under: uncultured bacterium
Lineage: Bacteria
Description: partial 16S ribosomal RNA
Rfam family: Bacterial small subunit ribosomal RNA
Source: RNAcentral